GGUUAAGCGACUAAGCGUACACGGUGGAUGCCCUGGCAGUCAGAGGCGAUGAAGGACGUGCUAAUCUGCGAAAAGCGUCGGUAAGGUGAUAUGAACCGUUAUAGCCGGCGAUGUCCGAAUGGGGAAACCCAGUGCAAUUCGUUGCACUAUCGUUAACUGAAUACAUAGGUUAACGAGGCGAACCGGGGGAACUGAAACAUCUAAGUACCCCGAGGAAAAGAAAUCAACCGAGAUUCCCCCAGUAGCGGCGAGCGAACGGGGAGCAGCCCAGAGUCUGAAUCAGCUUGUGUGUUAGUGGAACGGUCUGGAAAGUCCGACGGUACAGGGUGAUAGUCCCGUACACCAAAAUGCACAGGUUGUGAACUCGAAGAGUAGGGCGGGACACGUGGUAUCCUGUCUGAAUAUGGGGGGACCAUCCUCCAAGGCUAAAUACUCCUGACUGACCGAUAGUGAACCAGUACCGUGAGGGAAAGGCGAAAAGAACCCCGGCGAGGGGAGUGAAAAAGAACCUGAAACCGUGUACGUACAAGCAGUGGGAGCACCUUCGGGUGUGACUGCGUACCUUUUGUAUAAUGGGUCAGCGACUUAUAUUCUGUAGCAAGGUUAACCGUAUAGGGGAGCCGCAGGGAAACCGAGUCUUAACUGGGCGUUAAGUUGCAGGGUAUAGACCCGAAACCCGGUGAUCUAGCCAUGGGCAGGUUGAAGGUUGGGUAACACUAACUGGAGGACCGAACCGACUAAUGUUGAAAAAUUAGCGGAUGACUUGUGGCUGGGGGUGAAAGGCCAAUCAAACCGGGAGAUAGCUGGUUCUCCCCGAAAGCUAUUUAGGUAGCGCCUCGUGAACUCAUCUUCGGGGGUAGAGCACUGUUUCGGCUAGGGGGUCAUCCCGACUUACCAACCCGAUGCAAACUACGAAUACCGAAGAAUGUUAUCACGGGAGACACACGGCGGGUGCUAACGUCCGUCGUGAAGAGGGAAACAACCCAGACCGCCAGCUAAGGUCCCAAAGUCAUGGUUAAGUGGGAAACGAUGUGGGAAGGCACAGACAGCCAGGAUGUUGGCUUAGAAGCAGCCAUCAUUUAAAGAAAGCGUAAUAGCUCACUGGUCGAGUCGGCCUGCGCGGAAGAUGUAACGGGGCUAAACCAUGCACCGAAGCUGCGGCAGCGACACUAUGUGUUGUUGGGUAGGGGAGCGUUCUGUAAGCCUGCGAAGGUGACCUGUGAGGGUUGCUGGAGGUAUCAGAAGUGCGAAUGCUGACAUAAGUAACGAUAAAGCGGGUGAAAAGCCCGCUCGCCGGAAGACCAAGGGUUCCUGUCCAACGUUAAUCGGGGCAGGGUGAGUCGACCCCUAAGGCGAGGCCGAAAGGCGUAGUCGAUGGGAAACAGGUUAAUAUUCCUGUACUUGGUGUUACUGCGAAGGGGGGACGGAGAAGGCUAUGUUAGCCGGGCGACGGUUGUCCCGGUUUAAGCAUGUAGGCUGGUUGUCCAGGCAAAUCCGGAUAAUCAAGGCUGAGGUGUGAUGACGAGGUACUACGGUGCUGAAGUAACAAAUGCCCUGCUUCCAGGAAAAGCCUCUAAGCAUCAGGUAACAUCAAAUCGUACCCCAAACCGACACAGGUGGUCAGGUAGAGAAUACCAAGGCGCUUGAGAGAACUCGGGUGAAGGAACUAGGCAAAAUGGUGCCGUAACUUCGGGAGAAGGCACGCUGGUGUGUAGGUGAAGUCCCUGCGGAUGGAGCUGAGACCAGUCGAAGAUACCAGCUGGCUGCAACUGUUUAUUAAAAACACAGCACUGUGCAAACACGAAAGUGGACGUAUACGGUGUGACGCCUGCCCGGUGCCGGAAGGUUAAUUGAUGGGGUUAUCCGUAAGGAGAAGCUCUUGAUCGAAGCCCCGGUAAACGGCGGCCGUAACUAUAACGGUCCUAAGGUAGCGAAAUUCCUUGUCGGGUAAGUUCCGACCUGCACGAAUGGCGUAAUGAUGGCCAGGCUGUCUCCACCCGAGACUCAGUGAAAUUGAACUCGCUGUGAAGAUGCAGUGUACCCGCGGCAAGACGGAAAGACCCCGUGAACCUUUACUAUAGCUUGACACUGAACAUUGAGCCUUGAUGUGUAGGAUAGGUGGGAGGCUUUGAAGCGUGGACGCCAGUCUGCGUGGAGCCAACCUUGAAAUACCACCCUUUAAUGUUUGAUGUUCUAACGUUGGCCCCUGACCGGGGUUGCGGACAGUGUCUGGUGGGUAGUUUGACUGGGGCGGUCUCCUCCCAAAGCGUAACGGAGGAGCACGAAGGUUAGCUAAUCCUGGUCGGACAUCAGGAGGUUAGUGCAAUGGCAUAAGCUAGCUUGACUGCGAGCGUGACGGCGCGAGCAGGUGCGAAAGCAGGUCAUAGUGAUCCGGUGGUUCUGAAUGGAAGGGCCAUCGCUCAACGGAUAAAAGGUACUCCGGGGAUAACAGGCUGAUACCGCCCAAGAGUUCAUAUCGACGGCGGUGUUUGGCACCUCGAUGUCGGCUCAUCACAUCCUGGGGCUGAAGUAGGUCCCAAGGGUAUGGCUGUUCGCCAUUUAAAGUGGUACGCGAGCUGGGUUUAGAACGUCGUGAGACAGUUCGGUCCCUAUCUGCCGUGGGCGCUGGAGAAUUGAGGGGGGCUGCUCCUAGUACGAGAGGACCGGAGUGGACGCAUCACUGGUGUUCGGGUUGUCAUGCCAAUGGCACUGCCCGGUAGCUAAAUGCAGAAGAGAUAAGUGCUGAAAGCAUCUAAGCACGAAACUUGCCCCGAGAUGAGUUCUCCCUGAGACUUUAAGUCUCCUGAAGGAACGUUAAAGACGAUGACGUUGAUAGGCCGGGUGUGUAAGCGCAGCGAUGCGUUGAGCUAACCGGUACUAAUGAACCGUGAGGCUUAACCUU
RNAcentral lists this ribosomal RNA (2902 nucleotides) under Klebsiella pneumoniae. RNAcentral describes it as "23S ribosomal RNA". It matches the Rfam family "Bacterial large subunit ribosomal RNA". The record is from RNAcentral. Lineage: Bacteria; Pseudomonadati; Pseudomonadota; Gammaproteobacteria; Enterobacterales; Enterobacteriaceae.